Molecule: small nucleolar RNA, 66 nt
Filed under: Genlisea aurea
Lineage: Eukaryota; Viridiplantae; Streptophyta; Magnoliopsida; Lamiales; Lentibulariaceae
Description: Small nucleolar RNA snoR101
Rfam family: Small nucleolar RNA snoR101
Source: Rfam by way of RNAcentral
GGCUUACACUUGAUCGCUGAACUUCAGGUAAGUUCUAUGUCGACGCUCAUUUUUUUUGCUGAUGCC